AAUUGUGGGUCACGUUCCUUCCGGUUUGCGCCUUCGGCCCAGCUGGGCGGGGCUUCGCUGUGUUACCUUCUCAACAUGGCGAGCUUGCUGGACGUCACUUCGCCUUUGCCUUUUCCGCUCCGGACUCUGCUCACCGACCUUCUCAGUAGAGCCGGCCCUGCUCACCACCGCACCCACAUGUCCUGUUGUGCUUCAUUCCCACAGGCUGCAUAAGAAGUGGGUGCCGAGGCUCCCUUCCCACACUGCCAUUGCACUGGCCCAGAGGAAGCUUCUACUGUGUUCAGAUUGGCAGGCACACUCUUCCUCGAGAAGUUAAGUAGCCAGAAUAUCUGAAGGACUCUCCUUGGAGAGUUACUCGAUCAGCGCCUGUCCUUCCUCCCCUCUUCCAGCAGACCUGCCUUUUGCGGCUGAUGGAAAUAUGCAUAUUAGAUUAUCUGCAGAAACUGGCUCAGCACUACAAGGAGGCUGCCAACAUGAGGACACUGGAUGCGGAAUCAGGAAGAGAUGUAUACAGCUCAGUCUCCAAAGCCAGGACAAGCCAGUUCCAACACACUAUUGGCUAAAUCUCACCAAUCGUUAUAGUUUUGUUUUUUGUUUUUUUAAAUGUAUUUAAGCAUUUUUAGGUGUUUUAAAUUUUAUGUGUGUAUUCUAGGAAUUUGUACUCAGAUUCUUUCAUUAGGCAUGUGUUAUUAACAAUAUUCAUCUUCUUAAAGGCUGAACUGAGUUUGCACAUUUUAUCAACAGAUAUUUACUGAGCACCUAAUAUUGCCAGGCAGUGUCCAAGGUAGUGGGAUUCAUCAGUGGACAAUACAGACAAAAAUCACUGACCUAAAUAGAGCUUGAAGUUUAUAUCUAAAUCCGUCAAAGAUUCUGUGGUGAAAAAGAACUUAGAAAUCUUUUAGCUACAAAACAUAACCAAAAUACAACUCAUCUUUGGAAUAGGAGAACUUAUAGGUUCAUAAAAUUGCGAAGCCCAGAUGUACACCUGAGGUGAGGCUUUGUCCAGCUUGUGUCUGUGUCACUAAUCUUUCCUGCUUUCAGCUGCAUCCCUUGCAGGCCCAUGAUGUUCCCACCUGGCAGCAAACUGGUGACUGUAGUUUCAGAUCUCCAACAUCACACUCAGGAGAAGAAAGAGAUUCCUUUUCAGGAGCUCCUGCAAGCCAGAGAAUAAAAGCUCUUAUUUAUCCAGAAGCCCUAAAACAUACCACCUUGGCUGUAGACUAUUUGGACAUUUCUAAGCAAAUCUGUCUGCAAAGGUGUUGAGAUUUGUUGAUCAAAUGAAGCCCGUGACAUCUCAUAUUUGCAGUUGGAGCAAAUCUCAAAGGCAAAGCCAGUCUUAAGGAGAGGGGAAUCAGACUUCAUCUUUCGAUGGGAGAAGAAAAGAGUUUGCAACCGUCUGUAUUCUGCCACAGGCAGCGAAUCCACGGGUUUGUUAAGGAUACAGAGCCACAUUGAAAAGAUAAACCUUGCUAUCCUGGAGGUUAUUUAGGUGGGCCAGGGUUUCUUGAAACCAAAACUUUACUGAAUCACCUCUUCACCAUCUCUAUGCCAUGCAUUUGCUGAGAGAUAAAAACAUUCAUGUGAAAGAUGCCCUUCCCUGUACCGGGAGAAAAGAAGCCUUCUGCGGCCAGGAGCCAUAGCGAAGUGAAUUCUAUAGAAACAGACCAUGGUGAAAUAAUGUUUAUCUUCCUGCAGCCUCCCCACAUAAUUUAGUUACUUUUCCACAGCUGCUUUUUGCUCAACCUAAUAUAAAAGCAUUUAGGUAUUGCCA
This is a long non-coding RNA of Nomascus leucogenys (northern white-cheeked gibbon), 1771 nucleotides long. RefSeq lists it as uncharacterized. The record is from RefSeq and is a predicted model, not a curated record. NCBI's taxonomy places the organism in Eukaryota, Metazoa, Chordata, Mammalia, Primates, Hylobatidae. The transcript has 7 exons.